GCCAGGCACAGUGGUGCAUGCCUGUUAUCCUAGCAGCUGGGGAGGCUGAGGCAGGAGGAUUGCAUGUUCAAACCCAGCCUCAGCAACAGCGAGGCGCUAAGCAACUCAGUGAGACCCUGUCUCUA
Molecule: small RNA, 125 nt
Filed under: Marmota monax (woodchuck)
Lineage: Eukaryota; Metazoa; Chordata; Mammalia; Rodentia; Sciuridae
Source: RNAcentral